Betta splendens (Siamese fighting fish) is the source of this 531-nucleotide long non-coding RNA. RefSeq lists it as uncharacterized. The record is from RefSeq and is a predicted model, not a curated record. The transcript is spliced from 3 exons. NCBI's taxonomy places the organism in Eukaryota, Metazoa, Chordata, Actinopteri, Anabantiformes, Osphronemidae.
AUUCUUACAUGAUGCCAUAACUAAACACGAGCUGAAACCCUGUACCUCCUUCUGUCGCAGGCUGUCCAUGUCCUCUAGAGCUUGCUUGGACCUUCGCUUCUCCAUUUCCAGACGGUCUAUCGGAGGAUGACACACAGAACAUUUGUGCUGGGCUCAUUUUUUAAAAAAAAGAAAAAAAGGGGGUUCUGUGUGCUAGGUACCUUCUGCCUGUGCCAGUCGAAGCUUGAGCUCAGCCGUGCUGUUGGUUACCUGGCGACUCUUCUCAUCCUUCAGUGUCUGAAUCUCCUUGUUGAGGACAUGGGUCCGGCUGCAGCUCUCCUUCAGCAUGGAUCGUCUGUCUGAAUUGUUCGCUGUGGUCUGCUCUGGAGGUCCAGCUGUGUCAGCACACUGUUGGAGGCCAGACCUUCACAGAAGAGCGAGAAGCCCUCAUCCCACACCCCGAGUGCAUUCCACUCCAACACCAACCUGCAAGCACAAUUCAAAAGCAUCAACAGACGAGUGACAAAUUAAAAAAAGACCAUUUUAAAUUCA